Non-coding RNA from Triticum aestivum (bread wheat), 138 nucleotides. Lineage: Eukaryota; Viridiplantae; Streptophyta; Magnoliopsida; Poales; Poaceae. The record is from Rfam.
UUUCAAGUCCCUCCGUUCCACAAUACAUGCCUUUCAUUUGUCAAAAUAUAGAUGUAUCUAGACAUGUUUUAGUAUAUAUAGGUAUAUCCAUUUUUGAACAAAUGAAAGUCAAGUAUUUUGGAACGGAGGGAGUACUAA